Molecule: long non-coding RNA, 1041 nt
Organism: Trematomus bernacchii (emerald rockcod)
Lineage: Eukaryota; Metazoa; Chordata; Actinopteri; Perciformes; Nototheniidae
Exons: 6
Source: RefSeq, a predicted model, not a curated record
ACAGAAGGCCGCCAGAGAAAAGGAGGUUAAUAAAGUCCUCAAUACGAAGCUGGAGGAGGCCCUGCAGCUCAUUGAGGUGCUGCAGGCCACGGGGUCCUUUGAACAGGAUGGUGGUGAUGGAGGAGACGAUCUGUCCAAUCAGCCUGUUGAGGUUGGCGUAGGUUGGGCGUAGUUGUUGGCUGCGUCCUCCUUACCAGUGAUCAGCUGCUCGGGGUGGAAGAGCUGGCGGCAGGUUCCUUAAAUGAUGAUGAUGAGGAGGUGAAGGCCCUUCGGCGAGAGGGACAAUUGUUUAUUUAUUCAAUCCUGGAUGAAGCCCUCCCGCGCCGGGACCUCAACUCCCACGGCGUCCGGGUCUUGUGGCGCUGCUUGGACUUCCUGGUGCGACAGGUGAGGCUGCGGCGUGUUUUCCAACAGAAGGCCGCCAGAGAAAAGGAGGUUAAUAAAGUCCUCAAUACGAAGCUGGAGGAGGCCCUGCAGCUCAUUGAGGUGCUGCAGGCCACGGGGUCCUUUGAACAGGAUGGUGGUGAUGGAGGAGACGAUCUGUCCAAUCAGCCUGUUGAGGUUGGCGUAGGUUGGGCGUAGUUGUUGGCUGCGUCCUCCUUACCAGUGAUCAGCUGCUCGGGGUGGAAGAGCUGGCGGCAGGUUCCUUAAAUGAUGAUGAUGAGGAGGUGAAGGCCCUUCGGCGAGAGGGACAAUUGUUUAUUUAUUCAAUCCUGGAUGAAGCCCUCCCGCGCCGGGACCUCAACUCCCACGGCGUCCGGGUCUUGUGGCGCUGCUUGGACUUCCUGGUGCGACAGGUGAGGCUGCGGCGUGUUUUCCAACAGAAGGCCGCCAGAGAAAAGGAGGUUAAUAAAGUCCUCAAUACGAAGCUGGAGGAGGCCCUGCAGCUCAUUGAGGUGCUGCAGGCCACGGGGUCCUUUGAACAGGAUGAGCAAACACAGACGUCCACGCAGACGGAGGAGAUGGAAUAGUUUUUUUUAAAUAGUUCAAUAUUGUUUGUUACUUGUUAAUUUUUUAAUAAAAGUUGUUAUGUUCAUUUGU